CAUUUGGCUAAUUGGGCGUUUUUCCCACCGUUUGCCGCAUACUCCUAAAAAUAAAAAGGGGGGAGACUCUUAAUAAUCCAGACUCAUGCCUAGGCAUGCAUUAAGUACACAUACCUCUUGGAAGAUUGUGAAGUCUCCAUGGUACUCCCGGUCCCUUUCCAUUUUGAACGACGGCCUUCUGUGGGGGCCGCCCUUGAGGAGACACGGUCCCUGGAGCGCCGAUCCUGUUAAAGAUCCAGAUCAGUACAAUGGAUAAGGGUAUAUAUGGGGACCUGUUCUUAAAGAAGCCUCUGGAUACUCACAAUGCAGAAUGGGUAAAGGCGAGGGUAGUCGAUAACGAUGGUCACCUCCGAACCGUCAAGCCUCGCCUAAUAGAAUACCCCAUCGUCAAAUUAUAUAUAUAUAUACUCGCAAAAAUGCCCGUGCGUUGCAAUGGGAGAACAGGUAUCCUGGAUCCUUCGGGGAAAAAACAACACAUCCAAGUUGAUAAAUAUCAAACUGGAAAAUUGUUACAAUGCCAAGCCAAAUUCUGUCAUGCUUCUAUGCUAGCAAAAGUUUGGGCUGUGUAAAGCAACUCUUUGCAGCAUAACCCAAACAAACACAAAAUAUGAUUGGUAGCUAAAUCUAUCAAUGAAUUCAGCUGCAUAUCUUUGAGUCCUUUAUUAAUAUUGCGGCAUUGUUCUUAGAUAGAUUGCCAUGUCCCUUCUUGAACUGAAACACCAUCAAGCAAAAGACAGGACAUCGACAAUCUCCAUUUAUAUAUAAAAAAAGAAUAGUACUAAACUAAAACAGAUAGUACAAAUGAAAGGUUUUCCAACUAUUAAAUACCGAGAAAGAAAUUAGUAUAAGAUGAGUUUGCAAACCUGGAUGGAUGAUGAAUGCCUAUUGCUUAUCCAUUGACAUGUGUGUUGUCAUCUGCCAACUUCACCUACCAAUAUUAGAUGCAUCAAUAUUGUAUUAGGCUAAGAGCAGUGGGCAUGUCCAUUAGCGGUAACAAACCAAAUAAUCUGUCUUGUUUCAUAGAGACCCAUGUAAAGUGUUGAGACAUACCAGAUUCCUAAAUCAGGAUUGCUGAAACCGCACCAUAUUGUGCAU
Molecule: long non-coding RNA, 1095 nt
Filed under: Triticum aestivum (bread wheat)
Lineage: Eukaryota; Viridiplantae; Streptophyta; Magnoliopsida; Poales; Poaceae
Description: long non-coding RNA (TAES_LNC020616)
Source: RNAcentral